Non-coding RNA from Anas platyrhynchos (mallard), 553 nucleotides. The record is from the annotation of a RefSeq genome assembly. Lineage: Eukaryota; Metazoa; Chordata; Aves; Anseriformes; Anatidae.
CGCGGGGCCGCAUUUGCAUGGAGGGGCCGUGCUGCGGCCGGGCGGGGGUUUAAGAGGGAGUCGGGGUCCGCGGCACAGCCCCGUCGGCGUGGGGACGCGCAGCUGGUGGGAUCUCGCCAUGGCCUGGGCCCCUCUCCUCCUCGCGGUGCUCGCCCACACCUCAGGUUCCCUGGUCCAGGCAGCAACUACUCAGCCGGCUUCGAAGACGGUGAACCCAGGAGACAACGUGGACAUCACCUGCUCCGGAGGUAGCGCUGAUAGUAAUGGCAAAUAUUGGUAUGGCUGGUACCAGCAGAAGACCCCUGGCAGUGCCCCUGUCACUGUGAUCUACUAUAACGACAGGAGACCCUCGGGCAUCCCUUCACGAUUCUCUGGUUCCAAAUCUGGCUCCACAGCUAUGUUAACCAUCACUGGGGUCCAAGCCGAGGACGAGGCCGUCUAUUACUGUCGGAGCGUGGACAGCAGUGCUGGUGCUGGUAUAGUCACACAGAGCAAUGGGGACAUGAGGGACAGAGCACAGAUAGAAAUGCAGGCUUUCUGCCCUUGUCCCUAA